UAAACAACAGAAGGAAUGUUUUGCUUCACAUUGCGAAGUACAAUGUGUUUUGUGAUAUGUUCGGUAUUACUUCUCCUUAUUGUGUUACCUGAUUCAAUUCUAUGUGAUUCCAUUCAACAAAGCAAAGAGGAAAUGUUUUACAAAGAAGGAGAGGAAGCAACACUCCACUGUACCUACGAAACCAGUGGUAGUUACCCACGUCUUUACUGGUACCGUGUCUAUCAGAACCGAGCGCCUCAGUAUAUUCUGUACAAAGGAGCAAAGUCCGCUAACUGGGAAAGUAACACCGCAGCGUUUGCUGAGCAGAGGUUUUCUUCAACAGCAGAUGAUACCAGCACAACCCUGACCAUCACACAGACCUCCCUGUCUGACUCUGCCAUCUAUUACUGCGCCCUUUGGGACACCCACAGUGUGGGAAUGUAAUGAGAGACCCGCACAAAAACUAGGACCUCUGUCUGAGCACAGGGAUCACAUUCAGAUAUUUUCUCACGGAAGUCUGAAGGCUAAAGUAUCCACUAGAAUAUUUUAAGACAGAGAAUAAUCUUACUUACAGAAAUACUGUGGAAAUGCUGAAUUUUAUUUUUAGAAACUACGUUCAUCUAAACUGCUGAUAUCAGUUUUAGAUAAAUACUGUUUAAACCAAUCGCCCAUAUAGUGUACCAUUUGCUUUGUACCUCAUUAACUGAUUGUAUCAUAAUUUUCAUAACCACCGUAUUGCCUUUUGCACCGGGUUGUAUCCGAAAAGGCUCUUUGACCCAAUAUGGUUACCCGGUUAACAAAGGCAUACAUAAAUGCAUAACGCA
Protopterus annectens (West African lungfish) is the source of this 803-nucleotide non-coding RNA. NCBI's taxonomy places the organism in Eukaryota, Metazoa, Chordata, Ceratodontiformes, Protopteridae. The record is from the annotation of a RefSeq genome assembly.